RNAcentral lists this non-coding RNA (89 nucleotides) under Pseudomonas sp. 29. RNAcentral also lists the same sequence under 1 other name. Lineage: Bacteria; Pseudomonadati; Pseudomonadota; Gammaproteobacteria; Pseudomonadales; Pseudomonadaceae. The record is from RNAcentral.
CUUGAUGGUGGCUGUACGCAGGGCGCUUCGGCGCGCCGGCUUUUAGCUGAGUUCCCCGGUCUACUAACCUGCGUACAGCUGCCACCCUU